AUACUCGCUUCAGCAGCACAUAUACUAAAAUUGGAAUGAUACAGAAAACAUUAGCAUGGCCCCUGCACAAGGAUGACACAUAAAUUCGUGAAGCAUUCCAUAUUUGG
This 107-nucleotide small nuclear RNA is filed under the name Otolemur garnettii (small-eared galago). Lineage: Eukaryota; Metazoa; Chordata; Mammalia; Primates; Galagidae. The record is from RNAcentral.